RNAcentral lists this long non-coding RNA (210 nucleotides) under Pan troglodytes (chimpanzee). RNAcentral describes it as "long non-coding RNA NONPTRT001614". The record is from RNAcentral. Lineage: Eukaryota; Metazoa; Chordata; Mammalia; Primates; Hominidae.
GAGCAGCCAUCGGUGGCCUGGUGGCAGUUUAUAGGCCCAGGGCCAUAUGUCCCAGAGUGACAUGCAGGGUUGCAAUUCUGCAAUGACAAAGAACAGCUGCGGUGACCACAGCGUGAACCACGACUGAUGACAAUCUGCAGGGAUUUUUGCAUCAACCCAGCAGUGUGGCUCGCAUAAUGGAUGAUGUCAUCCUUGAAGGCAGAAACCAUG